RNAcentral lists this long non-coding RNA (1734 nucleotides) under Homo sapiens (human). RNAcentral describes it as "HSALNT0329028". The record is from RNAcentral. Lineage: Eukaryota; Metazoa; Chordata; Mammalia; Primates; Hominidae.
UGAAGACAAGUCUUGAUGAGGGACUCAGAUGUGAGUCAUCAGUAGCUGUCAUCCCUUGAAGCUCUGAAAUUAAAAAUGAACAGAUCAACCUUUUACUCUUCUCUGAAAAAUAUAGUGAAAUUAAUAAUCAAGAACGAUUUUCUGAAAUGAAAACAUCCGAACAGCAUACUGCAAAGACAUUCAGGGGAAAAUAAAAUAGGUGAUCAUCUGUUGGUCAAGCUGAAUUUAGAAUUUCUCUUUGGAAUCGUCUUCUGACCCUGCAGCACAUUCUUUUGAUGGUCCUUCGUAUGAACUCAUCAUUAAUGUUGAAAAUGGGAUUUAAUUUUUAGAAACAAUCCAGUUAUUUGAAGUAUGGUGACUAAUGAGUAUUUUAUCUUUUCCAUUGUGUAGCAAAACAAAACAAAGCAAAAUAAGAGUAAAGUGAAGUAAAGCAAAAUAAAAUAGGUAGAUGAGUCUUCUUAGUCAUAAAUUGAAGGCUACACCAAAAGAAGAGUUUCCCAAAUAUGAGCAAGGACAGUGUCAUUGAAUAAGCAUAUAACAUGCUAAAUUAACUAUUCUGAAAGUCAGCUUUUCUUGAAGGUACAUGUUUGGCCAUUCUUGUUAUUGUACAUGUAAACCUCAUCUAUUAUAAUUUCUGGUUAAGAGUUCAGAGGAGGAUUUUAUGAGUUUUGUUUUUAGCAAAAGAAACCACCUCUGACUAAUUCAGCUAGUGAUCAACCAUAACCCCAGAUCCCUUACACUGUAUUUGUCCAUAGCCACUGAUUCCCCAUUUUUCAUUGUGUACUGUCUCUGCCCAAUUACCCACACUAAUGGAGAAGAGCAGCGGUGCAGAUAAUCUCAAGUAGCAGAUGAUGCAAACACAUUUCAUUUUUUGUUUUGUUUUGGAAUGCAGUGUAUGACUAUUUUUACAGAAGGCGUACACAUUCCUAUUUAUAGCUGGCUUAGGCUGUGGUCAAAAGUGAUGUGCCUAUUCUCACAUUCACUGCUACAGCAGUAGAAAAAGUCAUCCAGGAGCAAGCAUGGCAUUGAGGAGCAGCUGGCUAAUAGCUGGUCAGUAUCGAAACUGCAUCAAGAAUAGUUAAACAUGAUCAUUGCCUUAUGCAGUUUAUUAAAGUUGGUUUCUGUGUGCCUGCUUUCAAUACACUGACUACUUUACAUUUUCCUUUAUGUACAUCGUUUGCUGCAGCCAAACUGAAAUACGGUUUCAUUCAUUCAUUUUCUUUCAUUCAUUCAUUUGCUUAAUAAAAAUAUAUUGAGCACUAUCUGUCAAUUAUUAUUAUAGGCACCAAAGAGAAAAAUAAACAAAACCAAAAUUCUAAUCUUGCCCUGAUACUUUUCUAAAAUAAUUCCCUCUGCCUGAUAUUCCCUCACCUUCCGCUCUGGACACUCUGGGGACAUCUCUUUUUCCUUUUCAAACCUGCUAAUUUCCAUUUGGAAUCCAGAUGCAUCGGGAGACGUGGCUCCUCUAAGAGGUGUAGCUGUUAAGCAUGUGACCCAGGUCAGUCAAACACAGUGAACCCCAGGACUUUCGCGAGGAAUCCCCAGACACUUGUGCUCUACUCUGCCCUGGAUUCUGAAGAAUGUUGGUGUGAGCAUAGAAACUGCUGCAAUGACAAUAUCACCAUGAAAGGAGAUUACUGAUUUGUAGCCAGGGUUGAUCCACAAUUAGCAAAGCUGAAAGAAAAAGUCCAGAAACAUAGUUAGAGGUUUUCUGUUACUUACAAAUAAAAACAU